CCGUUAACGACGCUCAUGCUCGAAGGCGCGGGUAUCAAACAGGAUUAGAUACCCUGGUAGUCCGCGCGGUAAACGAUGAGUGCUCGGGAUUUGGGCAUUAGCCUGAGUCCCCCAGCGAAAGCGUUAAGCACUCCACCUGGGGAGUACGCCGGCAACGGUGAAACUCAAAGGAAUUGACGGGGGCCCGCGCAAGCGGAGGAACAUGUGGUUUAAUUCGAUGAUACGCGAGGAACCUUACCCGGGCUUGAAAUGUGCAUGACGACCCCGAGAGACCGGGGUCUCCUUCGGGCAUGCAUGUAGGUGCUGCAUGGUUGUCGUCAGCUCGUGCCGUGAGGUGUCGGCUCAAGUGCCAUAACGAGCGCAACCCCUUCCGCCGGUUACCAUCGGGUUAUGCCGGGGACUCCGGCGGCACUGCCGCCGCAAGGCGUGAGGAAGGCGGGGAUGACGUCAAAUCAGCACGGCCCUCACGUCCGGGGCCACACACGUGUUACAAUGGGGGGCACAGCGAGCGGGAUGAUGGCGACAUCAUUCGAAUCAAUAAAUCCCCUCCCAGUUCGGACUGGAGUCUGCAACCCGACUCCACGAAGCCGGAUUCGCUAG
This 600-nucleotide ribosomal RNA is filed under the name uncultured bacterium. Its description in RNAcentral is "bacterial SSU rRNA". It matches the Rfam family "Bacterial small subunit ribosomal RNA", at positions 734 to 1338 of the family's 1533-position model. The record is from RNAcentral.